CCCAGGUUUGAGGCUAUGCUGUUUUGUGGUCAGGGACUCGACUCUCCAUGGCUUGCAAGGUUUGAUGCAGGGCUGAGGUUUGUCCUUUGGUUGUUCCCACCUCCGUGCUGCUGAUGGCUUCGUUUGGCUCUGAUGCUUGCGUGCUGGUAGAGCUUUCGCCACGGGUGCGUGCUGCUGUGCCCUCUGGAGCUUGCGUGGGGUAGUGUGGAGGUUGGCGGUCGGCCAGGAGCUAACCAGAGGUGCCUUCUUGCUCCGGGCCUGUAGCAGGGCCGGCAUCUUGUAGCCAUGGACUCGGGGGCUAUUGAAGGCCGAGUCCUUCCCUUUCGGGGUAGGUCUGGAGAUCCUGGGGUUGGUGGUAUGCCGCCGUUGGCGGGUGGAUCUCUGCCUACGUGGUCGAUGCACCGGGGUUAAUCCCCUGUUGGCCCCCGGCCCAG
Pelobates cultripes (western spadefoot toad) is the source of this 434-nucleotide non-coding RNA. The record is from the annotation of a GenBank genome assembly. NCBI's taxonomy places the organism in Eukaryota, Metazoa, Chordata, Amphibia, Anura, Pelobatidae.